GGAGGCAGCAGUGAGGAAUAUUGGUCAAUGGUCGGCAGACUGAACCAGCCAAGUCGCGUGAGGGAAGACGGCCCUACGGGUUGUAAACCUCUUUUGUCGGAGAGUAAAGUACGCUACGUGUAGUGUAUUGCAAGUAUCCGAAGAAAAAGCAUCGGCUAACUCCGUGCCAGCAGCCGCGGUAAUACGGAGGAUGCAAGCGUUAUCCGGAUUUAUUGGGUUUAAAGGGUGCGUAGGCGGCACGCCAAGUCAGCGGUGAAAUUUCCGGGCUCAACCCGGAGUGUGCCGUUGAAACUGGCGAGCUAGAGUACACAAGAGGCAGGCGGAAUGCGUGGUGUAGCGGUGAAAUGCAUAGAUAUCACGCAGAACCCCGAUUGCGAAGGCAGCCUGCUAGGGUGAAACAGACGCUGAGGCACGAAAGCGUGGGUAUCGAACAGGAUUAGAUACCCUGGUAGUCCACGCAGUAAACGAUGAAUACUAACUGUUUGCGAUACAAUGUAAGCGGUACAGCGAAAGCGUUAAGUAUUCCACCUGGGGAGUACGCCGGCAACGGUGAAACUCAAAGGAAUUGACGGGGGCCCGCACAAGCGGAGGAACAUGUGGUUUAAUUCGAUGAUACGCGAGGAACCUUACCCGGGCUCAAACGCAGGGGGAAUAUAUAUGAAAGUAUAUAGCUAGCAAUAGUCACCUGCGAGGUGCUGCAUGGUUGUCGUCAGCUCGUGCCGUGAGGUGUCGGCUUAAGUGCCAUAACGAGCGCAACCCCUAUUGACAGUUACUAACGGGUGAAGCCGAGGACUCUGUCGAGACUGCCGGCGCAAGCCGCGAGGAAGGUGGGGAUGACGUCAAAUCAGCACGGCCCUUACGUCCGGGGCUACACACGUGUUACAAUGGCAGGUACAGAAGGCAGCCAGUCAGCAAUGACGCGCGAAUCCCGAAAACCUGUCUCAGUUCGGAUUGGAGUCUGCAACCCGACUCCAUGAAGCUGGAUUCGCUAGUAAUCGCGCAUCAGCCAUGGCGCGGUGAAUACGUUCCUGGGCCUUGUACACACCGCCCGUCAAGCCAUGGGAGCCGGGAGUACCUGAAGCAUGCAACCGCAAGGAGCGUACGAAGGUAAUACCGGUAACUGGGGCUAAGUCGUAACAAGGUAGCCGUACCGGAAGGUGCGGCUG
Molecule: ribosomal RNA, 1166 nt
Filed under: human gut metagenome
Description: bacterial SSU rRNA
Rfam family: Bacterial small subunit ribosomal RNA
Source: RNAcentral